CAAAGGUGAAAGAAGUGGGUGGAAACUUGCGCUGCCGUCCAGGAAGAGAAGUGAGUGAGUAAGUCGGCUGCAAUAUUUAACAGUGCCUCCGGCCCCGCCGCCCGCAGACCCGCCUCGACGGGAGCCGAAGCUGUCGGAUGGAGACACAGCUGGCUGGAGCUGGGGAAGCUGACUCGCACUGGCUGCUUGGCUCUGAGAACUGAAUUCCAUAGGCGUUAAAGCCUCCAAAAUGCCCUAUGGAUUCAGUUCUGCAGCUGGGCAGCAACUGAGCCUCAAACCUUCAGGAAGAAAAGGCAACUGUGAGCUCUUCCUACAAGGAAUAUGUAAAUCUUUGCUCCUGCACAGAGACCAGAUUAGGGGUGGAGGGGAGUUAUGGCCAUCACAGAAAUAUCUGCUAUCAAAGAGCUACUAGAGGUUUGUGGCACAUCUUCCCCCAAGGGAAAAAAACCACACAACUAUAGAAUGUUUUCUUCCUUCUGGAAGUGAAAUGGCAUUUUAGAAAAUAAAUACAUUACUACCUCCUGA
Haemorhous mexicanus (house finch) is the source of this 525-nucleotide long non-coding RNA. RefSeq lists it as uncharacterized. Lineage: Eukaryota; Metazoa; Chordata; Aves; Passeriformes; Fringillidae. The transcript is spliced from 2 exons. The record is from RefSeq and is a predicted model, not a curated record.